RNAcentral lists this ribosomal RNA (879 nucleotides) under uncultured bacterium. RNAcentral describes it as "bacterial SSU rRNA". It matches the Rfam family "Bacterial small subunit ribosomal RNA", at positions 24 to 904 of the family's 1533-position model. The record is from RNAcentral.
UCAGGAUGAACGCUGGCGGCGUGCCUAAUACAUGCAAGUCGAACGCUUCACUUCGGUGAAGAGUGGCGAACGGGUGAGUAAUACAUAAGUAACCUGGCAUCUACAGGGGGAUAACUGAUGGAAACGUCAGCUAAGACCGCAUAGGUGUAGAGAUCGCAUGAACUCUAUAUGAAAAGUGCUACGGGACUGGUAGAUGAUGGACUUAUGGCGCAUUAGCUGGUUGGUAGGGUAACGGCCUACCAAGGCGACGAUGCGUAGCCGACCUGAGAGGGUGACCGGCCACACUGGGACUGAGACACGGCCCAGACUCCUACGGGAGGCAGCAGUAGGGAAUUUUCGGCAAUGGGGGAAACCCUGACCGAGCAACGCCGCGUGAAGGAAGAAGUAAUUCGUUAUGUAAACUUCUGUCAUAGAGGAAGAACGGUGGAUAUAGGAAAUGAUAUCCAAGUGACGGUACUCUAUAAGAAAGCCACGGCUAACUACGUGCCAGCAGCCGCGGUAAUACGUAGGUGGCGAGCGUUAUCCGGAAUUAUUGGGCGUAAAGAGGGAGCAGGCGGCACUAAGGGUCUGUGGUGAAAGAUCGAAGCUUAACUUCGGUAAGCCAUGGAAACCGUAGAGCUAGAGUGUGUGAGAGGAUCGUGGAAUUCCAUGUGUAGCGGUGAAAUGCGUAGAUAUAUGGAGGAACACCAGUGGCGAAGGCGACGAUCUGGCGCAUAACUGACGCUCAGUCCCGAAAGCGUGGGGAGCAAAUAGGAUUAGAUACCCUAGUAGUCCACGCCGUAAACGAUGAGUACUAAGUGUUGGGAGUCAAAUCUCAGUGCUGCAGUUAACGCAAUAAGUACUCCGCCUGAGUAGUACGUUCGCAAGAAUGAAACUCAA